GUCUUGCUCAGUUGGUAGAGCAUGAUACCAUUAUUAUUAUUGUUGUUGUUGUUGUUGUUGUUCCUGUUAAUCUCAGCGUUGUGGGUUCAAACCCCAUGUUGAGCA
This is a non-coding RNA of Podarcis lilfordi (Lilford's wall lizard), 105 nucleotides long. NCBI's taxonomy places the organism in Eukaryota, Metazoa, Chordata, Lepidosauria, Squamata, Lacertidae. The record is from the annotation of a GenBank genome assembly.